RNAcentral lists this unclassified non-coding RNA (344 nucleotides) under soil metagenome. RNAcentral describes it as "partial contains 5.8S ribosomal RNA, internal transcribed spacer 2, and large subunit ribosomal RNA". The stretch from base 1 to 120 matches the Rfam family "5.8S ribosomal RNA", at positions 35 to 154 of the family's 154-position model. The record is from RNAcentral.
GAUGAAGAACGCAGCGAAAUGCGAUACGUAAUGUGAAUUGCACAAUUCAGUGAAUCAUCGAGUCUUUGAACGCACAUUGCGCCCCCUGGUAUUCCGGGGGGCAUGCCUGUCCGAGCGUCAUUGCUGCCCUCAAGCACGGCUUGUGUGUUGGGCCUCCGUCCUCCUCCCGGGGACGGGCCCGAAAGGCAGCGGCGGCACCGCGUCCGGUCCUCGAGCGUAUGGGGCUUCGUCACCCGCUCUUGUAGGCCCGGCCGGCGCUUGCCGACACAUCAAUCUUUUUUCCAGGUUGACCUCGGAUCAGGUAGGGAUACCCGCUGAACUUAAGCAUAUCAAUAAGCGGAGGA